AGGUAACUAAAUGACCAUGGAAUCUGGAGCAGAGAACCAGCAGAGUGGAGAUGCAGCUGUAACAGAAGCUGAAAACCAACAAAUGACAGUUCAAGCCCAGCCACAGAUUGCCACAUUAGCCCAGGUAUCAAUGCCAGCAGCUCAUGCAACAUCAUCUGCUCCCACUGUAACUUUAGUACAGCUGCCCAAUGGGCAGACAGUUCAAGUCCAUGGAGUUAUUCAGGCGGCCCAGCCAUCAGUUAUUCAGUCUCCACAAGUCCAGACAGUUCAGAUUUCAACUAUUGCAGAAAGCGAAGAUUCACAGGAAUCAGUGGAUAGUGUAACUGAUUCUCAAAAACGAAGGGAAAUUCUUUCAAGGAGGCCUUCCUACAGGAAAAUUUUGAAUGACCUAUCUUCUGAUGCACCAGGAGUACCAAGGAUUGAAGAAGAAAAGUCUGAAGAGGAGACUUCAGCCCCUGCCAUCACCACUGUAACGGUGCCAACUCCAAUUUACCAAACUAGCAGUGGACAGUAUAUUGCCAUUACCCAGGGAGGAGCAAUACAACUGGCUAACAAUGGUACCGAUGGGGUACAGGGUCUGCAAACACUAACCAUGACGAAUGCAGCCGCCACUCAGCCGGGUACAACCAUUCUACAAUAUGCACAGACCACUGAUGGACAGCAGAUUUUGGUGCCCAGCAACCAAGUUGUUGUUCAGGCUGCCUCCGGAGAUGUACAGACAUACCAGAUUCGCACAGCACCAACUAGUACCAUUGCACCUGGAGUUGUUAUGGCAUCUUCCCCAGCACUUCCUACACAGCCCGCUGAAGAAGCAGCACGAAAGAGAGAGGUUCGUCUAAUGAAGAACAGGGAAGCAGCACGAGAGUGUCGUAGAAAGAAGAAAGAAUAUGUGAAAUGUUUAGAAAACAGAGUAGCAGUGCUUGAAAACCAAAACAAGACACUGAUUGAGGAGCUAAAAGCACUUAAGGACCUUUACUGCCACAAAUCAGAUUAAUUUGGGAUUUAAAUUUUCACCUGUUCAGGUGGCAAGUGGACUGGAUUGGCCACAACCAGAAAGACAAAAUAAACAUUUUAUUUUCUAAACAUUUCUUUUUUUUCUAUGCGCAAAACUGCCUGAAGCAACUACAGAAUUUCCUUCAUUUGUGCUUUUGCAUUAAACUGUGAAUGUUUCAACACCUGCCUCCACUUCUCCCCUCAAGAAAUUUUCAGCACCAGGAAUCAUGAAAAGACUUCUGCUUUCCAAUGCCCACCCUCCUCAAGAAGUAAUAAUUUGUUUACUUGUAAAUUGUUGGGGGAAAUGAUGAAAAUGAAAUCUUUUUUAAAAAAUGAUUUCAAGGUUUGUGCUGAGCUCCUUGAUUGCCUUAGGGACAGAGUUACCCCAGCCUCUUGAGCUGAAGUAAUGUGUGGCCGCAUGCAUAAAGAUGAACAGAGUUUAUGAAGGAGCAUCAUUCUAAGAAUUGAGUGAUGUAGUCUUUAUAUUUGGACAGUUCACCAGAUUCUCAAGAAGGCUUUCAAACAACUGUAAAGUUUGAUGUUUGUCCUGCUGAGCAAGUGGAGAAAGUGAUAGCAUAAGUAUUGCUUGUUACCAGGAUAGCUAUGUCAUUUCUAAACUUGGUUCUACACAAACCAAGUAAAAGGAUAUCUGUUUCACAAUCUGGACUUAUUUUACAUUGAAUCAAAAUGUCAGCUGUCAAUGUUUUAAGUGAAAAAUUGCUUGUAUAUAGCAAUUUAUGAUCUCUAAAGCUAUGUUGUUGUUGUGGGGGGUUUUUUUCCCAAAAGUUGAGGCUUUCUACUUAAUUAGGAAGGUUGUAUCUUUUAGUCCCUGAUAAAUCAAGGCAAUCACAUUUCUAUUAGCUGAAUGGAUUUCUAAGUUACAAAGACUUGGUCCUUUAUACCUUCAGGAUGACUGCACUGGUUUGAAGUCAGUUAUUUAACAGUAAGGUAACAAAUGUAUGAUGUUGCUAAAUCUGCAUUAGGCCUUUGGAGAGACUUGAAGAUUUCAGUUUAUACAGAUAGAAAUCAAGCAGCAUUUGUCCAGGUUUUUUGUGGGGUUUUUUUUUAAUGUGAGAGAUAGAAGAAAUAUGUUUGUUUUUAAGCUUAUUACUUGGAGAAUCUUUAUUUUUAAAAUGACAUUUUAAAUCUUGCAGCCAAGAAAUUAUGGCCACAUUGUAAGUAAGGUUUUCUCUUCCUAUUGGCCAAAAGGGAAUAAAAAUGUCAUCAUAGGAAUCUGUAUAUAUGCUACUGAUUUGCCUAGAAAAUAAUAAGUUUGAUAUUGCUCAUUUUGCAAAUAUAGGGCCAUGUGGCACUUUUAUCUAUAGGACAGAUUAACUAAUAAAAAUGAAGUGGGGAGGGGUUUAUUUUUGAUAUAUUUCUCUGAGUUGUCAAGCUCUGAUAGUGUUUAACUGAAAAGUGGCUUAGAAAGGGCUAGGUUCAAUGUGUUCACAUUAUUAAAAAUUUGAUGAGAUAUAAGUUCAUUCUUUUUCAAACUCAAGUACCAUAUUGGCAACUGUAAUUUUGUCAUAGGUGCUGUUUGUUUAGAUUCUCUUGGGAGUGGGGUUGGGGAAAUGGCAUUUGUAUAAUAUAUGUGUACAUAUAUACAUACAUACAGUAUAUAAUCUAAAGCUCUGAGAGCUCCUAAGUCAGGAAUGCUGAGUAUUAUAGUAUAUUGAGGUCAGAUGAAAUUUUACAUUUUUGUGUGUUCUAUUGCAUCCCUUCUGCUAGUUUCAAUGACUGCAUUUCUCCAUCACUCAUGAUUGACUUAUAGCUCUAAAUUUUUCCAAGCAUUUUUAUUAGUUUACUUGGAUGCUUUUAAAUACUUUACUAGUCAUUUGAAAACUUCCCCACUCCCACCAAAAACAAAAUAUUUGGGUUUUCUGCUUUGUCUCUGGCAGCUACAAUACUGGUAAGAACAUUUUGAAGAGAGCUUUUUAAAAGAACCACUGAUUUUUCAAAAAUCAUCCAGGGGAGGAACUUUUGGUGUUUGAUUUGCGCAGGGAUUUAUCAGGCAAUGUGUUUUGAGGUAGGCCCGCAGCAGUGCUAGUGUCCAGAAGCACAAUACCAGUCAGGCAGGCUUUCCAAUCAAUAGUCAUCUGGCUGAAGUUUUAUCUCUGCCUCUCAGGACUGCUCCCUACUAUCUUCUUGACCAUUUGGGUGGAAUCAUACAAAGGCUUAGAGCUUGGAAACAAGUUUGUAUAAACCAGAAUGCUUUUACUUACUUGUAGUGACUUCAGUCUAGAUGUAUUCUUUUUGACUUAAUUUUUAAUUGAGUGUUCAGUUACAGUCAUCUAUUAACAUAAAUUGGUUGCUUACCAAAGACUGCUUCAUUUUGCAGGAAUAAAGGCUAAUGUAAUUAGAAACAGUGGUUACAUGCCUUUUCAAUAAUUUCGAGGAGUUUAUUUUGUUGCAUUUGUAAUGCUGAAAACUGUUGGUAUAUUAUUUCCUGUUACCUAAUACAAAAGUUGUAUAUUUAUUUGGAUUUUAUUUACAUGAAUAUUUGUAAAUGUUUGGUGUAACUUGCACUUUUAAAAAUGACCUAGUGUGGGUCUUAGCAACUUAUCAAGUCCCCUAACCAAUUCAUUGACUUUUUGGUCUUUUUUUUUUUUUCUCUUCAGAUAUGACUUUUUUUAAUAGAAGCUUUUUGUUGAUUUAUAUAUAUUAGCACCUAAAAGCUAGCCUUUAAACUGUUGAUAGGAUUGUUGGUUUAUGCCCGUAUUCUUAUCUGCUUGGGGGACUGAAUGCUUACACCUCAAAGCCAACCCACCCAGGCAGGAUAGUUCCUGAGAACCCUUAUCAAUCAAUAGCUAGGCGUGAUGACAAAUGCAGGAUCAGUCCAGGUAUGCAACCAGGCAGGAAGCAAAAUAACCAGCAUAUAAAUGGAGCUGAAGGUCUGGCUCAAUGAUAAAGCGCCUGAUAGCAAACUCAAUGUCAAGUUCAAACCCCAGAACAUCCCCUCUUCUACCCUAUCCCCUUUUCAAAAAGCUUUUAAAAAAAAAAAUCUAGAUAAUAGAUUUGACUAGCCCAGAUAAUCAGAAGAUGGACUCAAACUUUUAUCAUGAAUAAUGAUUCAACAAAAAAGUAACUCAAAGUAUCAAUCCUUAUUUCAAAUGAAACUUUAUCCUCACCACAGUAAUAGUAUUCCAAAUAAUUACUAAUUUUUCCACAGUAGUAAGAUUUUAAAAGCAUAUAGCUAUUAUCAUCAUGGGAGACUACAUAUAAUAAUCGUUUUUUACUAAAUUCAUUUUAUAUUGGCUUUAUUACAUCAAAGCGAUGAAGUUUGGUUAUAGAUGAGGACAUAUGCUUUAGAAAGCCUAUAAGUGAAGAAUUGUGAUAUGUUUAUUCACUCAGUAGCUGUACAAAGCACAACCAGAACUUUUUGUUGGACGGCUCACAUCUUGAUUACUUUUAUUGUUAAUAAUGUUGACUUCUUUUUUAAGUUGACUACAUAAGUCACUGUAUGUACUAGGAACUGGUUUUCCUGACUUUCUAGAACCAAUGGCUAAGAAAAGGCAAAUCCUUGAGGGGUUGAACCUAUCAGGAAAUUGAGUCAGUAUGGAAGAAUUUCAAACAAAUCAAACAGGGUGCUGAAGUUCCAUCUGUCUCAUCUCCUAUGAUAUGUUCUUAUUGAUGAGUGAAUGUAGCUUAAGCCUUUGUAUGCAUCCUCAGGGGGCAAACUUCAAAGAGGGACCAGAUAACAUUCUAACGGAGGAAUUAUAUUUCAGGUGUUUUAGCUUGAAACUUAUUUUUUAAAAAAAGAAAAAUUAAAAAAAAAAUAGAACAAAGCCUGUAAAGCAAGUUGACAAUUAAAAAAAAAAAAAAAAAAAAAACAGGCAGAGUUGUUUAGCACAGAGAGGAAAAUAAUGACCGGUCCACAUUCUGGCACUGUGGGUGCAGGUCCCAGCUAAGUAAAACAUGCAUUUUAAAUUAUUCUCACCAGCAAGUAAAAGGAAACGAACAAUCUACAAGAAAUGGCUUGAGAAAGGUCAAGCAAAUUAAAAUUUUACCUACUUUCCAGGCAUUGUUUAAUACUUGGCUAUAGAAGCAUGGCAUUUCUAAGCUUCCGUGUGAUGAGCAUCUUGGAGAUGGUCACAGUCAACCUGAGAUGGGUAAAAAUUGUUAGAGGAGGAAGAAAAUCCCUGCAGGGAAUAAUUUGAUGUUAGUUGGCCAUAUGAAAUGAUCAAGCAUUGUGUUUGGGAGGUUUUAUUUUCUUAUGUUUUAAAAUUGAAUUGGUAAAUGCUUUAUAGACAUAUUUUUAUCCAGGUGCCACUCCAAUGUGUAUGUAAUAAAAAUUAUUUAUAUUGAAAGUGGAAAAUAAUUUUUCAGCAUUUUACUGUGAGUAUAGAUUUAUUAGGGAUGACAAAGAAGCCCUGGUUAGCAGUUUCCCUUGUAAAGUUGUCCUUGACUGAUUUAUAACAGAGUAGCUAUAGUCUUCCCUCACCCCCAUCCCCCCCUCCAGCAAAAAGAAUUGUUUCUAACCAGAUGUGUCACUUGAAACUUCUUAGCAACAAAAUAACCAGGGGAGUUCCUCCAAAGGUGUUUGGCUUUUGAAUUUUUCCUUGAGGUCAGGGGUUAAGAAUGCCUCCCCCAAAACUAUCAGCACAAAACAGGGUAUCAAUUUUUUUAACUCUGAUAUUUCUGUUAGAGUUGAAUAUUAAAUAAGGAACUAUAAUGAAGGAAAUACAUUUCUAAUAAAAUUCCCUACAUUCUAGAAACGUCCCUGUUUUGAUCUUUUUUUUUUAACCAAAAACUUUCUGUGCUUUAUGUGUAAAGGAAGAAAAUGUACUGGGUUACAAUGCAUUUUAUGAACACCAUGUACAUAUAUUAGCUGCUUUGUGUUCAGGAUGGUAGCGAUUGCUUUGUAUAUUGAAGUGAUCCUUGUGAAUUUGUGAUAUAUUGUCAUAAAGUGCUUUUUCUUACUGUAAUCUUUGUGGUAUCAACUGUCAUAAUGCCCUUUUUACACAAACAUUUAUGUGCAGUCACAUAAACAUUGCUUUUAAAAACA
Molecule: RNA transcript, 5998 nt
Organism: Dipodomys ordii (Ord's kangaroo rat)
Lineage: Eukaryota; Metazoa; Chordata; Mammalia; Rodentia; Heteromyidae
Gene: Creb1
Gene name: cAMP responsive element binding protein 1
Exons: 8
Source: RefSeq, a predicted model, not a curated record